This is a non-coding RNA of Saccoglossus kowalevskii, 73 nucleotides long. NCBI's taxonomy places the organism in Eukaryota, Metazoa, Hemichordata, Enteropneusta, Harrimaniidae. The record is from the annotation of a RefSeq genome assembly.
UCCUCGAUAGUAUAGUGGUGAGUAUCUCCGCCUGUCACGCGGAAGACCGGGGUUCAAUUCUCCCGUCGGGGAG